RNAcentral lists this ribosomal RNA (484 nucleotides) under uncultured bacterium. RNAcentral describes it as "partial 16S ribosomal RNA". It matches the Rfam family "Bacterial small subunit ribosomal RNA", at positions 30 to 507 of the family's 1533-position model. The record is from RNAcentral.
AUUGAACGCUGGCGGCAGGCCUAACACAUGCAAGUCGAGCGGAUGAAGGGAGCUUGCUCCUGGAUUCAGCGGCGGACGGGUGAGUAAUGCCUAGGAAUCUGCCUUGUAGUGGGGGAUAACGUCCGUAAACGGGCGCUAAUACCGCAUACGUCCUGAGUGAGAACGUGGGGGAUCUUCGGACCUCACGCUAUCAGAUGAGCCUAGGUCGGAUUAGCUAGUUGGUGGGGUAAAGGCCUACCAAGGCGACGAUCCGUAACUGGUCUGAGAGGAUGAUCAGUCACACUGGAACUGAGACACGGUCCAGACUCCUACGGGAGGCAGCAGUGGGGAAUAUUGGACAAUGGGCGAAAGCCUGAUCCAGCCAUGCCGCGUGUGUGAAGAAGGUCUUCGGAUUGUAAAGCACUUUAAGUUGGGAGGAAGGGCAGUAAGUUAAUACCUUGCUGUUUUGACGGUACCAACAGAAUAAGCACCGGCUAACUUCGUG